CCUACGGGUGGCAGCAGUGAGGAAUAUUGGUCAAUGGACGCAAGUCUGAACCAGCCAUGCCGCGUGCAGGCAGACGGUUCUAUGAAUUGUACACUGCUUUUGUACGAGGGUAAACGCAGAUACGCGUAUCUGUCUGAAAGUAUCGUACGAAUAAGGAUCGGCUAACUCCGUGCCAGCAGCCGCGGUAAUACGGAGGGUUCAAGCGUUAUCCGGAUUUAUUGGGUUUAAAGGGUGCGUAGGCGGUCGGAACAGUUAGUGGUGAAAUGCCGAGGCUUAACUUAGUUAUUGCCUCAGAUACUGGACGGCUAGAGAGUAGAUGCGGUAGGCGGAAUGUAUGGUGUAGCGGUGAAAUGCUUAGAGAUCAUACAGAACACCGAUGGCGAAGGCAGCUUACCAAGCUACAUCUGACGCUGAGGCACGAAAGCGUGGGGAGCAAACAGGAUUAGAUACCCGAGUAGUC
RNAcentral lists this ribosomal RNA (460 nucleotides) under uncultured bacterium. RNAcentral's name for it is "partial 16S ribosomal RNA". It matches the Rfam family "Bacterial small subunit ribosomal RNA", at positions 338 to 795 of the family's 1533-position model. The record is from RNAcentral.